RNAcentral lists this ribosomal RNA (1473 nucleotides) under Gammogobius steinitzi (Steinitz's goby). Its description in RNAcentral is "partial 16S ribosomal RNA". It matches the Rfam family "Bacterial large subunit ribosomal RNA", at positions 167 to 2574 of the family's 2925-position model. The record is from RNAcentral. Lineage: Eukaryota; Metazoa; Chordata; Actinopteri; Gobiiformes; Gobiidae.
ACCAAACGACUAGCCCAGCCAGGAAAAACAACAAUCAGUAUUAAUAACCCUAGAGCCACUAGAAGGACUUAAAGAAAAACAUUUUUCCACCUUAGUACGGGAGACGGAAAGGGAUAAUAGGCGCUAUAAAAAGUACCGCAAGGGAAAGUUGAAAGAAAGAUGAAAGAGCUUAGAAAGGAAAGAAAAGCAGAGAUUAGCUCUCGUACCUUUUGCAUCAUGACUUAGUCAGCACUUACCAGGCAGAGGGCCCUUUAGCUUGGACCCCCGAAGCUGGGCGAGCUACUCCAAGACAGCCUAUAGUAGGGCAAACCCGUCUCUGUGGCAAAAGAGUGGGAAGAACUUAGAGUAGAGGUGACAGACCUACCGAGCCCAGAUAUAGCUGGUUGCCUGGGAAUUGAAUAGAAGUUCAGCCUUUUGACUUUUUAACCCAUGGAGGCUAGGCCGCGCGCCAUGCCCCACCCAGGAUAAGAUGGGACCAAAAGAGUUAUUCAAGAGAGGAACAGCUCUCUUGAAGAAAGAAACAACUUUGCGCAGGCUAAAGAUCAGAGAAUAUAAGGAAUUAUGACCGGGUGGGCCUAAAAGCAGCCACCCCCCUAGGAAAAGCGUUAAAGCUUGGGCAUGGUCCCCCAAAGAUCCCGACAGGAAUUCUUAAGCCCCUAUACAUACCAGGCCCCCCUAUGCACACAUAGGGGAGAUACUGCUAACAUGAGUAAUAAGAGAGCCCCCUCUCUCCAGGCAGAAGUGUAUAUCAGAACGAACCCACACCGAAAAUUAACGCCCCCAAAGAAAGAGGGAAUAGGCAAUAUUUAUUAAACUAGAAAUUCCCCGAACUACCAGCGUUAACCUUACACAAGACUGCCCAAGGAAAGACAAAAGGAAGAAGAAGGAACUCGGCAAACACUUGACCUCGACUGUUUACCAAAAACACCGCCUCUUGAUCACUAUAAGAGGUCACGCCUGCCCUGUGACAAAGUUUUAACGGCCGCGGUAUUUUGACCGUGCGAAGGUAGCGUAAUCACUUGUCUUUUAAAUGAAGACCUGUAUGAAUGGCAAAACGAGGGCCAAACUGUCUCCUCCCUCCAGUCAAUGAACUUGAUCUGCCCGUGCAGAAGCGGGCAUCCACACAUAAGACGAGAAGACCCUAUGAAGCUUUAGACACCAGGGCGGACCACGUUAAUAGCCCCGAACCACCAGGAUUAAACCUAAGCGGACCCUGCUCACCUGUCUUUGGUUGGGGCGACCACGGGGAAAGAAAAAACCCCCGAGCGGAAUGGGAACUAUUCCCCAAGGGAAGGCCCACAGGCCAACCCCUCAAAACAUCUGACCACAAUAGAUCCGGAAAAACCGAUUGACGAACCCAGUUACUCUAGGGAUAACAGCGCAAUCCCCUUUAAGAGCCCACAUCGACAAGGGGGUUUACGACCUCGAUGUUGGAUCAGGACAUCCUAAUGGUGCAACCGCUAUUAAGGGUUC